Paramuricea clavata is the source of this 4614-nucleotide non-coding RNA. Lineage: Eukaryota; Metazoa; Cnidaria; Anthozoa; Malacalcyonacea; Plexauridae. The record is from the annotation of a GenBank genome assembly.
CUCCCGUUGACAAGUAAACGAGUUCAUUCUAUUCUAUAAAUAUUGAUUUACAGUAUGACAAUAUCUACUUAGAUAAAGAGUCACAUGGCAGACAAUAAAGAUGUCGAGAAACCGUACGAAUGUGAUAUUUGCAAUCGACGAUUCACCGUAUCAAACCACUUGGCAAGGCAUAAAAGGACACACACAGGGGAAAAGCCUUACGGAUGUGAAGUUUGCAACAAAAGAUUUAUAAGAUCGGAUGACUUACGGAAGCAUCAGAGGUCGCACACUGGGGAAAAACCGUACGAGUGUUUCGUAUGCAGCAAAAGAUUCUCACAAUCGAGCAACUUAUCGAGACAUAAACUAACACAUAUUGGAAACGAACUGUAUGAAUUUGUUCUUUGCAACAAAGUAUCUGCGGACGUGCCGCCCUCUGCGGAAAUAAAAACUGAAACAGAAUCGUGAAUCAUGCUAACGGUCUUUGCUGUGGUCCAGGCGCUUACUGUAAGUCCUAAAAUUGUCAAAGUUCUGCUAAUCUGGAAAGGCCUCUUACCGCUUUAAUAGUAUAAUCAUGUUGGCAGUGAUGAACAGUAUUCGCAAAGUUGUUUGAAAAUGUACUUGAAGAAUAUAGCAAAUGCUUUGACGUUUCGAAAUAAAGGCCCUUCGUCUGCGAGUAAGUUGCCAUUAAAACAAGCUCGAAAUGUAAAAAGGUAUUUUCUAUGUUUUUAUUUUGUUGCAUCCUUCAACCAACUGUGAAUAAUUCAUGGCUCUUCAUAGAAAAGUAACAGAAAUAUUUUUAUUAUAUAAACAUAAGUGUUAUAUAGAGUUUUUGGCCACUGAGAAAAAUCGUAUUUAAACACACGUAAAAAAUACGAUAUUUUUACGUGUGAAAAUAUCAUUUGUGGUGAAACGCAUUGCCACGGACGUUUUAUUGUUUUUCACUGAAUUUUGUUUAUAUAAUAAACAGAAAAAUACAUGGGUGCUUGGAAAUACCAGAUUUAUUUCGAAAUAAAUGUGGUAUUUCCAAGCACCCAUGAAUAAUUCUCUAUAUACCCCGUGGUGCUGGUCUCAAACUAUGUUACUAAAAUAUCAAAUGAAUUACUAUGACGAGGGUUUGUGCCAAUAACGUGCUAUCUAUAAUAGUAUUAAUACAUUUCAAUUUUUUUCUAUAACUUUCACCUAAGUAUAUAUAUAUAUAUAUAUAUAUAUAUAUAUAUAUAUAUAUAUAUAUAUAUAUAUAUAUAUAUAUAUAUAUAUAUAUAUAUAUAUAUAUAUAUAUAUAUAUAUAUAUAUUUAAUUUUAUGCAGUUCAAUAUUCUGGGAUAAUACAAUAAAAAUAUAAACAUUUCGGAUUAUCCCAGAAUAUACUGAAUAAAAUUUUGAAAUUAUAUUAGUACAUUUUGGUCGACAUUCUUAUGUAACACAUUUUCGAUAAAGGACACUUAUUACAGGGAUGCCGGAUGGAUCCAGCAUGAUCUGGUAUUGGGGGGUGCUCUGCCAGCUCUUGUGCUGAGUUGUGUCAGUCACAGCGAAGUCUUGCUUGACCACUGUAUUUGAAUUGUAGUUGUUCACAGUUCGCUCCCCCUCCUGCACCCCCUCUGUCCAGGGCUAAGGGGGGGGGGGUGCACCCAUCCCUAACUUAUUACCCUCCACCAAUGUCUUCAUUGUCUGAUACACUUUUUAUAGUGCAUGUACCAGUGAACUCUAAGAGAACUGGAACGAUAACUUGGCCGCCAUCUUUGAAGCCACUCAUGAUGGCCGCCAUGUAGGUAUGGAGUGGAAAAUAUGCCGCCUAAAAGAUGUCUGUUUUCGACCACUAAAUAGCUGUAUUUCCACAAGGAAAAAAGCUAAAAACUUUCAACUAUACCUGAAAUUUAAUACAAAACAUGUUUCCAGAACAUAGAGCAGUUUUAAAGUUCUUUUUUCAGGAGUCAAAGUGCGAAGUUUUUUUCGGCACGUUCAACCUUCUGUAAUUUUUUGAAUAUCAAGCUGUUACCCAGGACGUUUUUGCUGUUAGUGGAUGUAAAAUACUUAGAACUAUCCAGGAAACCAGGUUUGAAUCUUUUAAGUUGAAGACUUUCGAUAAAAAAGUGCUUUUUCUUGCUGAUUUUCGCUCAAAAACAACCUUUUGACUGAAUUUCCCGCUCCUCGAAACUCUCCCCAGUCCUUUUGAAAGUUGAUUUAUUGCUCGCUGAGCUUGCGAGAAGCGCCAUCUUGGCUUCGGGCAAGUAUGGGCAUGUUUACCUGCAGUUAGCGUUCCAGUGUUAUUACAGUUCACUGGCAUGUACUUGAUUCAAAUUUUGUUUUUUUGAGAGCCAAAGCUAGAUCUGAGGCAGUACAUAACAUACAGUAGCCAUAAGAGCAGUGGGAGAACAGGUCGACAUGUUGUCAGCUUAAUUUAUACCCGAGUGGCCAUUGUCUGAUGGGGAAGGAAUUUUAUUCUGGGCAACUAACUUUCAUGUCCAACUUGCCCUGAAGGCAAGUGGUCAAAAAAGUAAAAUUACACCACUGCUUGUGAUUAAAUCCAGAAUUUCUGAUUUACUGUAAAUCAUUAGCCAUUUUGAAUAUGAGGAUGAAGUACUUCAUUAACCUUAGAGUAUAAUAACGUCUUCAAGUUUAUAUGUGCAUGAGGAAAGGGGACCGGGAGUAGUAAAAAAGGUAUCGUUAUUAAACUGUCUUGUACUUUAUCUCUGCGUGUUUAUGAAUGCUUUUCAUGUAGGCCCUAUAGUUGCACAUUUUUGCCAUUUAGUAAGAUUUGGAAUUUAUUUCUAUUUAUUUUUUUUCUAAAAUGUCCAAAACAGGGUUGCAAAUAUAAAUAAUUUUAUACCGUUGUAUAAUCUUGGAAUUUUAAGAAUAAUCUAAUUCAAAUAUUUCUAUUUAAUUUUCGAAAGUCAGGCCAGUAAUGCUAAUUUUCCUUAUGUUCAGUAUAGCAUUCUGAGUAAAGCUUCUGAUACACGAGCACAAGGGUGGGUUGACUACAAAUUUUUUGUAGUUCGCUGUAACUACAGCUACUUCAAAAAUAUGUAGUCAGCUACAACUACUGCUACUUUUAAAGAAAGGUAGUUCGCUACUGACUACAGCUACUGCUUAAAAAAUGUAGCGAACUAUUUCGCUACUCUAUAUUUUUAGUUUUACUGUAUUUGGAGCAUCUAUUAACUCAGGCUGGAAUGUAACCUAUAACAAAUCGAUUUACGAGUAACAACAGUAAACACAAAGCAACAUUUUUGAAAGCACUACAGUGUUCAGGCGUGCAAAUUGAGUAUUGAUUUUAAGCAGACCGUGUCUCAAUAUCAUGCUAUUCUAUCAAGUUACUAACAAUUUUAAAAAGUAGCGAAUAGCGAUUCGCUGUUUGAAAAGUAGCCAACUUCUUGGCUACUUUUAGGCAAAAUGUAGUUCGCUAUAACUACAGGUACUGUUUUAUAAAAGUAGUCAAAAACUACUGGCUACUUGAAAAUUGUAGUUCGCUACAGUAGCGAACUACAACUACUUCGCUACUACCCACCCUUGCACGAGCAAUAUUUUUGCUGCGUUGGUUACGUAAUGGUUGAUAAGAGCAUUGCGUUGCCGUCGCACAAGGUGGCUAUACCUGCAAUAUUUCACCUGCAAUAUAUGUUUUUAUAACGCUUUUCAUUGGCUGGUCAAGAAACGUGUCAAUCAACAACCUUGACCACACCUCCCAAUUUUCGGCAAUGAUUGCGCGAAGCUUUGCGUUGCCGUCGCAAAGCAUGAUACACAAGCAAUUUCUCGCGACGGCAAUGCAACGAUUUUACCACCAUUGCAUUGCCGUGUAUCCGUAGCUUAAUAUUGCCCGUGUAUCCGUAGCUUAAUGAACCCUGUAGUGAUUGUAUUUUCCUGUCUUACUAUAACUUUAACUUUACUUAGAAUGCAGGAAAUUAUGUUUCAGGCAGUUCAGAAAUUAUGUUUCUGGCAGUUCACGCCAGAAACAACACUGGCCUGGUAAGCUCGUCUUGGUGAGUUCGCAUGUCAUUGUUCGUUCAGAUGAGAGACGAACCUCGUACCCGGGCCUUCCAGCGGUCAAACGGCUCUGGUCACGUGACUUCAGAAAUAUUGGACAUUAUAAAGCAGUAAUUUACUUUUCGAGAUCACCUUUCUGUAGAAAAGAACUUAAAGUUGUGGACGAUUUUGGACUAAAACGCCAAGGCCGCUGGAGUUUUUAAUUUUUUUUUUAAAUUUUAGAUGAGGUACAGUAUAUAGACAUAGACGUAUCAGUUCAUCCCAUUUUAAACGUUGUAUUAUAGAAGUAUUUUGAAUUGUGUUUCUGGCAACGUAUAUUUAUGAGCAUGCGCAGUACAAGAGAAACGAACACGUUUGUUUUUGAGAAUCGAACCCAAGUUGACGUUUUAUAAAAUUUUCCCUAUUUUAUUUGUAUUAUUGGAAUAUUGGUGAAUAAUUUUUUAUAUGUAAAUUUACUUUUCGAUCCCGGGGGUGCGAGCCGAUUUGAUUCUAUUAAAUAUGGGCAUUAUGGCCACGCGAAGGCAUGAAGGUUUUACUAAUAAACUUUCUUAGGUUUUUUCAAGAAAUUAUGGAAUAGCAAACCGUUGUACUUAUCAAAGAUCAAGAAUCAAAAGAGUCUGAAAUCAAAAGAGUCUAAAGUCUACUGUAAUUUCUUAUCCAG